RNAcentral lists this ribosomal RNA (1502 nucleotides) under uncultured bacterium. Its description in RNAcentral is "bacterial SSU rRNA". It matches the Rfam family "Bacterial small subunit ribosomal RNA". The record is from RNAcentral.
UGAGUUUGAUCCUGGCUCAGAUUGAACGCUGGCGGAAUGCUUUACACAUGCAAGUCGAACGGCAGCACGGGAGCUUGCUCCUGGUGGCGAGUGGCGAACGGGUGAGUAAUGCGUCGGAACGUGCCGAGUAAUGGGGGAUAACGCAGCGAAAGUUGUGCUAAUACCGCAUACGCCCUGAGGGGGAAAGCGGGGGAUCGCAAGACCUCGCGUUAUUCGAGCGGCCGACGUCUGAUUAGCUAGUUGGUGGGGUAAAGGCCUACCAAGGCGACGAUCAGUAGCGGGUCUGAGAGGAUGAUCCGCCACACUGGGACUGAGACACGGCCCAGACUCCUACGGGAGGCAGCAGUGGGGAAUUUUGGACAAUGGGGGCAACCCUGAUCCAGCCAUUCCGCGUGAGUGAAGAAGGCCUUCGGGUUGUAAAGCUCUUUCAGCUGGAACGAAACGGUACGGGCUAAUACCCUGUGCUAAUGACGGUACCAGCAGAAGAAGCACCGGCUAACUACGUGCCAGCAGCCGCGGUAAUACGUAGGGUGCGAGCGUUAAUCGGAAUUACUGGGCGUAAAGCGUGCGCAGGCGGAUUGUUAAGCAAGAUGUGAAAUCCCCGGGCUUAACCUGGGAAUGGCAUUUUGAACUGGCAGUCUAGAGUGCGUCAGAGGGGGGUGGAAUUCCACGUGUAGCAGUGAAAUGCGUAGAGAUGUGGAGGAACACCAAUGGCGAAGGCAGCCCCCUGGGAUGACACUGACGCUCAUGUACGAAAGCGUGGGUAGCAAACAGGAUUAGAUACCCUGGUAGUCCACGCCGUAAACGAUGCGAACUGGAUGUUGGUCUCAACUCGGAGAUCAGUGUCGAAGCUAACGCGUUAAGUUCGCCGCCUGGGGAGUACGGUCGCAAGACUGAAACUCAAAGGAAUUGACGGGGGCCCGCACAAGCGGUGGAGUAUGUGGUUUAAUUCGAUGCAACGCGAAGAACCUUACCUGGCCUUGACAUGUCCGGAAUCCUGCAGAGAUGCGGGAGUGCCUUCGGGAAUCGGAACACAGGUGCUGCAUGGCUGUCGUCAGCUCGUGUCGUGAGAUGUUGGGUUAAGUCCCGCAACGAGCGCAACCCUUGUCCUUAGUUGCCAGCACGUAAUGGUGGGAACUCUAAGGAGACUGCCGGUGACAAACCGGAGGAAGGUGGGGAUGACGUCAAGUCAUCAUGGCCCUUAUGGCCAGGGCUACACACGUGCUACAAUGGUCGGUACAGAGGGUAGCCAAACCGCGAGGUGGAGCCAAUCCCAUAAAGCCGAUCUUAGUCCGGAUUGCAGUCUGCAACUCGACUGCAUGAAGUCGGAAUCGCUAGUAAUCGCGGAUCAGCUAUGCCGCGGUGAAUACGUUCCCGGGCCUUGUACACACCGCCCGUCACACCAUGGGAGUUGGUUGCUCCAGAAGUAGGUAGUCUAACCGCAAGGGGGACGCUUACCACGGAGUGGUCAAUGACUGGGGUGAAGUCGUAANCAAGGUACC